This 440-nucleotide ribosomal RNA is filed under the name uncultured bacterium. RNAcentral's name for it is "partial 16S ribosomal RNA". It matches the Rfam family "Bacterial small subunit ribosomal RNA", at positions 338 to 795 of the family's 1533-position model. The record is from RNAcentral.
CCUACGGGGGGCAGCAGUGGGGAAUAUUGCACAAUGGGGGAAACACUGAUGCAGCGACGCCGCGUGAGUGAAGAAGGAUUUCGGUAUGUUAAGCUCUAUCAGCAGGGAAGAAAAUGACGGUACCUGAUUAAGAAGCCCCGGCGAAAUACGUGCCAGCAGCCGCAGGAAUACGUGGGCGGCAAGCGUUAUCCGGAUUUACUGGGUGUUAAGGGAGCGUAGACGGCAGCACAAGUCUGGAGUGAAAUGCCGGGGCUUAACCCCGGAACUGCUUUGGACACUGUGCAGCUAGAGUGCAGGAGAGGUAAGUGGAAUGCGUGGUGUAGCGGUGAAAUGCGUAGAUAUUAGGAGGAACACCAGUGGCGAAGGCGGCUUACUGGACGGAAACUGACGUUGAGGCUCGAAAGCGUGGGGAGCAAACAGGAUUAGAUACCCCUGUAGUC